This is an RNA transcript of Aethalodelphis obliquidens (Pacific white-sided dolphin), 5402 nucleotides long. It is a transcript of the gene named ATPase phospholipid transporting 9B, with no coding region annotated. The record is from RefSeq and is a predicted model, not a curated record. The transcript is spliced from 28 exons. Lineage: Eukaryota; Metazoa; Chordata; Mammalia; Artiodactyla; Delphinidae.
CCUCGACGCACGGUGAAGGGGCAGGGCGCGCGGGCGGAGCCUCAGCGGGGUCGGAGCUGAGAGGAGAAGGCGGGGAAAGGCGGCGAACUGAGGGGGAUCGGGGAGGGGCGGGAAGGUGGCGGCCAGAACAUGGCGGAACAGAUCCCUCUGUACCCGGUGCGCAGCGCGGCGGCCGCGGCCAGCUGCAAACGUGCGGCCUACUUCAGCGCGGCGGGGCCCGGGCCGGGGGCCGAGCGGUCCAGCAGGUACCAGCUGGAAGAUGAGUCUGCCCAUUUGGAUGAAAUGCCAUUAAUGAUGUCUGAAGAAGGCUUUGAGAAUGAUGAAAGUGAUUACCACAAAUUACCACGAGCUAGGAUCCUGCGAAGAAAGAGAGGCCUAGAGUGGUUUGUCUGUGGAGGAUGGAAGUUCCUCUGUACCAGUUGCUGUGAUUGGCUGAUAAAUAUUUGUCAAAGAAAGAAAGAAUUGAAAGCUCGUACAGUGUGGCUUGGAUAUCCGGAAAAGUGUGAAGAAAAACAUCCCAGAAAUUCUAUAAAAAAUCAGAAAUACAAUGUAUUUACCUUUAUACCUGGGGUUUUAUAUGAACAAUUCAAGUUUUUCUUGAAUCUCUAUUUUCUGGUAGUAUCCUGCUCACAGUUUGUGCCAGCAUUGAAAAUAGGCUAUCUCUACACCUACUGGGCUCCUCUGGGGUUUGUCUUGGCUGUUACUAUCAUGAGGGAAGCAAUUGAUGAAUUUCGGCGUUUUCAGCGAGACAAGGAAGUGAAUUCACAACUAUACAGCAAGCUUACAGUAAGAGGUAAAGUGCAAGUUAAGAGUUCAGACAUACAAGUUGGAGACCUCAUCAUAGUGGAAAAGAAUCAAAGAAUUCCAUCGGACAUGGUAUUUCUUAGGACAUCAGAAAAAGCAGGUUCAUGUUUUAUUCGAACUGAUCAACUCGAUGGUGAAACUGACUGGAAGCUGAAAGUGGCGGUGAGCUGCACGCAGAGGCUGCCGGCUCUGGGGGACCUUUUUUCUAUCAAUGCUUAUGUUUAUGCUCAGAAGCCACAACUGGAUAUUCAUAGUUUUGAAGGCACAUUUACCAGGGAAGAUAGUGAUCCACCCAUUCAUGAAAGUCUCAGCAUAGAAAAUACCUUGUGGGCAAGCACUGUUGUUGCAUCAGGUACUAUAAUAGGUGUUGUCAUUUAUACUGGAAAAGAGACUCGAAGUGUAAUGAACACAUCCAAUCCAAAAAGUAAGGUUGGUUUGCUGGACCUUGAGCUCAAUCAGCUGACCAAAGCGCUGUUUUUGGCGUUGGUUGCCCUCUCGGUUGUCAUGGUGACCUUGCAGGGAUUCUCAGGUCCCUGGUACCGCAGUCUCUUCCGCUUUCUCCUGCUCUUCUCCUACAUCAUUCCCAUAAGUUUGCGUGUGAACCUGGACAUGGGCAAAGCCGCCUACGGGUGGAUGAUUAUGAGAGAUGAGAAUAUUCCCGGCACAGUGGUCCGGACCAGCACCAUCCCGGAGGAGCUGGGGCGCCUGGUGUACCUGCUGACCGACAAGACAGGAACCCUCACCCGGAACGAGAUGGUAUUUAAGCGGCUGCAUCUGGGCACCGUGUCUUACGGGACGGACACGAUGGAUGAGAUCCAGAACCAGCUCAUGAAUUCCUACUCACAGACGCAGUCUCAGACCAGUGGAAACAACGCCAGUUCAACACCCCCAAGAAAAGCCCAGUCCUCAGCGCCCAAGGUCAGGAAAAGCGUGAGCAGCCGGGUCCACGAGGCCGUGAAGGCUGUCGCCCUGUGUCACAACGUGACCCCCGUGUACGAGGCCCGCGGCGCGGCCGGGGAGACCGAGUUCGCCGAGGCCGACCAGGAUUUCAGCGACGACAACCGCACCUACCAGGCCUCCAGCCCCGAUGAGGUGGCCCUGGUGCAGUGGACGGAGAGCGUCGGCCUCACUCUGGUCAACAGAGACCUCACGUCCAUGCAGCUGAGGACCCCCAGCGGCCAGAUCCUGACCUACUGCAUCCUGCAGACCUUCCCCUUCACGUCGGAGAGCAAGCGGAUGGGGGUCAUCGUCAGGGACGAGUCCACGGCAGAGAUCACGUUCUACAUGAAAGGUGCCGACGUUGCCAUGUCCACCGUCGUCCAGUAUAAUGACUGGCUGGAGGAGGAGUGCGGCAACAUGGCCCGCGAAGGCCUGCGCACCCUCGUGGUGGCCAAGAGGGCGCUGACGGACGAGCAGUACCAGGACUUCGAGAACCGCUACAACCAGGCCAAGCUGAGCAUCCACGACAGGACGCUCAAGGUGGCCGCCGUGGUGGAGAGCCUGGAGCGGGAGAUGGAGCUGCUGUGCCUGACGGGGGUGGAGGACCAGCUGCAGACGGACGUGCGGCCCACCCUGGAGAUGCUGCGCAACGCGGGCCUCAAGAUAUGGAUGCUGACGGGCGAUAAACUGGAGACGGCCACGUGCAUCGCCAAGAGUUCUCACCUGGUGUCUCGAAUGCAGGACACGCACGUUUUCAGGCCGGUAACCAGUCGGGGAGAAGCCCAUUUGGAACUGAAUGCCUUUCGAAGGAAGCAUGACUGUGCACUGGUUAUAUCCGGGGACUCCUUGGAGGUCUGCCUGAAGUACUACGAGCACGAGUUCGUGGAGCUGGCCUGCCAGUGCCCGGCCGUGGUCUGCUGCCGCUGCACGCCCACGCAGAAGGCCCACAUCGUCAGGCUGCUGCAGCAGCACACGGGCAGACGCACGUGUGCCAUCGGUGACGGAGGGAACGACGUGAGCAUGAUCCAGGCAGCAGACUGCGGGAUCGGGAUCGAGGGGAAGGAGGGCCGGCAGGCCUCGCUGGCGGCCGACUUCUCCGUCUCGCAGUUCAAGCACAUCGGCCGCCUGCUCGUGGUGCACGGGCGCAGCAGCUACAAGCGGUCGGCGGCACUCAGCCAAUUUGUCAUGCACCGCGGCCUCAUCAUCUCCACGAUGCAGGCCGUGUUUUCCUCCGUCUUCUACUUCGCGUCCGUCCCUCUGUACCAGGGAUUCCUCAUGGUGGGGGCGCCCGCCCGGCAGCGGGGAAGCCCGUCCGCACAGCGGCGGCCCGGGGCCCGUGGCGAAGGCUGCGCUCAUGGCGCUGCCAGAGCUACAGAGCGGGAGGCCUGUGUCAGACAAGAGCAGACCGCAGUUCCCUCCCCUCACCCUGGUGACCGCGCCAGCGGGACACGGGUCUCCCGGCCUCAGCGUCUUCCCAGGUCGGCGGAGGACAAGCCAGCGGGUUAUCGCACCCUGUGGAGCCCGGGUCAAGGGCACGGUUACAUGCGUGUCGCCUGGCGGCUCCCUGAACCCCGAGAAUCCCGGGGAUUUCAGCGAGAGGCAUCGGGGGCAUCGGGGCGCAACGUGGGCUGAUAUCAGGGCGAAGCUGGGCGGGCGAGGUCCCGUCGCGAGUGACGGGGCUCCCUCGGCCUCCCGUCCUGUGUCCUGGCCUCCUGCCCCCGGGCCAAGGGCGUCCGCUGCCUCCGCACGCCCGUGUCUCCAGAGUGGACGUCAGAGCGAACUGGGGACCUGGUGGGACCAGCUCUGGGGGUGUCUGGGGGCGCAGGGCAGGCGGGAGGGGCGGCGGGAGGCUGGCGAGGGGUGGGCCGAGCCCGGGGUGUGGGCGCAGGAGAGCUUUCCAGGAAGAGGGAGCCCUGGGGCGGGUGCUUGAGCCCCGAAGAGGACAGGGCGCUGAGCUCGGCAGCGGGGGGCCGGGGCAGUGGCGGGGGUGUGAGGUGAAGGUGCCGCUCUCCUGCCACGUGGACGCAUCCCUGAACGCCCGGCUUGCCGCCCAGCAGCCGCAGGGGCUGGAUCCCGGUCCCCCUCGCUCCGGGGCUCCAUCGUUUCUCCCCUCCGCCCCUGGCUCCUGUGUGGCUUGAGCUGUUGAACAGUUUAGGUUCUUGUGGAAAUUAGAGCCUAUCCUUCCCCACGGAACUCAUGCGGACCCUGCCCAGGUCCCUGGAGGCGGAGGGGAAGCACUGCCCCUCCCCCGCCCCCAGGCCCAGGUCAGGAUAAAGGCUUCACUGCGACUGGCUGUGGGGCUGGGCCUUGCGCCAGUUCAGGCAGCCUGCCCUUAAUGGCAGCAGGAGUUCCUGGAGUCCUUCAAAGAGAGGGAAAAGCCUAAAGGUACAGAAAGCUACAAUUUUUUUUACAUUUUUCCGUUGCUUGCUUAAGUCUUUGCAAUAAUUAUCACGUUAAUUACUCUAAACAGCACAGAAUUUGCACAGUAGUGCUGGUUAUGUCUUGAGCUUGUCCAGGGCAUUUCUUCCUCGGAGGCCAAAGAAAAAGCGUAACCAUUCUCACUUUCCAUUUUUCAAAGUGUGGAUUUGGAAGUUUCAAAGGAAGUGUCAGGGGGCAGAGGUGUUACUCCUUAGCUUUCUAGGGACUGGUGACCCAGGUGAGGCCCACCCGCACUGCUGGUUACUUCACGGAAGGAAGCUCGUGCCGAGGCCGCCCCGGUUCCCCCUGGAGCCCACCAGGCGGCACCUGGCCCACUCCCCUCACUUAGCCUUUGGUUGCGUCUGCCCACAUACCUGAGGUCCUGGGAGGGGCUGUGCCCUACCUCCACACGCCUCCCUCGGCAGGUCCUCUGGGGAAGCACCGUGCAUCCUGGCCCCACUUAGCGUUCACAGGCGUCAGCACAUCCAGGAUUCUGCAAGACCCGCUCCACAUGGUCGAGCCAAACCCCUCCUUUGCCCCACAGCUGCCGACGUCCCGUGUUCAGGCAGCAUCCGUGGAGACACGCAGGUCUGCUCUAGCUGAGGUGUCCCUCUCGUGAUGGCCACAGCUCCCAGAAGGCACCCCCGGGCCAUCACAGGUGUGCAUCCUCGCAGGGGAUUUCAGUGGGGAGCCUGAGGAUGCACGUGGGAAAACUAGCAGAUGCCGUCUUCACAGGGUGCCAGGAGGGCACGUGACAUCUGAGGAAGAGUCCUGAGCUGCAGGCAGGAGCAUGGGCGAGUGAUGAGGAGGUGGGCUCGCAGCCCGUCACCAAGGGGCACCACGGAGCGACAGGAAAUGCCCUGUCCUCCCAGCCCACGCGACUGGAAGACACGGUGAGGUACAGGGAAAAGCUGUUUUCGGACCGUGGACACCAGGCAGCAGGCACUGAUGCCGGAGACAAGGGAAGCUGGCAGAAUUCACAGCUGGAAAUCCCUGGAACCUUGGGGGGUAAAGAUUCCUUAGGCACAAAAUGCGUGAACUGUCACAGGAGAAAUUGGCAAGAUGGACUUCAUCAAAAUUAAGUCUUCGCUCUUCUAAAGACAGUAUUAAUCAAAUGAAAAGGCAGGCUGGGAAACAGUCUUUUCAGUACCUAUAUCUGAUAAGAGCUCUGUACCCAGAAUGUUUCAUGAUCUCCAAACAACUCAAUUUUUUAAGAAAAGGCUAAAGAUUUGAACGUACAU